GCUGGGUAUGGUGGUGCACACCUGUAGUCCCAGCUACUUGGAGGCUGAGGCAGGAGAAACGCUUGAGCCUGGGAGGUCGAGGCUGCAGUGAGCCGUGAUAGCAACACUGCACUCCAGCCUGGGUGACAGAGUGAGACUCUGCCUCAA
This is an unclassified non-coding RNA of Pongo abelii (Sumatran orangutan), 147 nucleotides long. It matches the Rfam family "Metazoan signal recognition particle RNA". From Rfam's summary of the family: The signal recognition particle (SRP) is a universally conserved ribonucleoprotein. It is involved in the co-translational targeting of proteins to membranes. The record is from Ensembl. NCBI's taxonomy places the organism in Eukaryota, Metazoa, Chordata, Mammalia, Primates, Hominidae.